RNAcentral lists this unclassified non-coding RNA (225 nucleotides) under Hevea brasiliensis (rubber tree). The record is from RNAcentral. Lineage: Eukaryota; Viridiplantae; Streptophyta; Magnoliopsida; Malpighiales; Euphorbiaceae.
GUAGACCCUUUCGAGGAUAGAUAAUAAGCGGUGACAGUGCCAGCGGAAUUGCCAGGGACAAGCUUGAGCUGCGUAUCAAUUUUCCCAAACAUAUACUCAUUCUUGGAUUGAAAUCCAGACCCAGAGGCUUUGUCAAGGGAUAAAGUGAGAAGAUCGCCAUUGUUAAUCUUACCUCGACCAUCUCCCCAUGUGAUGUCAAAAUCUCGGUAGAAAUUACCAGAGGCA